UAGUCAUUAUGAUAUAAUCAUAUCAUAAUGAUUAUAUGAUAUAAUCAUUAUGACACAGCAGAACAUUGACAUUGUGUAAAUAAUAGGCUCUGUUGUAGGUCUAAGCCAUGCAGGUGCAUCAAUCAGGACAACAGCCGGUGCGUUCAUCCCUGUGUGCUCUGUCUCCAGAAAAAUACCCAACAUAUAAUCCACGUCCUUGGGCACCGGCUGUUGGGUUGAGUGGACCCGGAGCGAUGAAUAAACGAGGCAGAACGACUUGCAAGAGCAGGAACCUUUUCACCCGACGGUCUUUCGUUUCGAUUAGCUUAAAACUGUUUGCAACACCGUGACAUUCUGCCAAACCGGGCUGGAACACAGUGGAAAGAUCCAGCUCCGUCAGUAACAGGAGGGGUGAGGGGACGAGGUCAACACGGAGCAGAAAGGGAAAUCGAUAUGGGCGAGCACCUGAGAGAGCGGCCAAACAGGAAGCAGGAAGGGAAACCAGGGAUCAAGCCAAAACAUAACCCUCCAGGUACUGAAGGAGGGAAAUCAAGACAUCAUCAGUAGCCCCUUAUUCACACAGGGAGGUAAGACGGGUUUGGAGGUGGCAAACUGGAGCCUGAAUCCUGGACAGGUUGUAGGUUUGAAGAUCUGAGGAGUGGGACGAUGGAACGGAGGAGAGUGAUCCACCGGGUGAAGUCCUGGGGAUGCUUGAGCUGCAGUGGAUUGACCCGAAGAGUGGAGGGUACAAGGUCGUGUACAUGUACCGGCACAACAACGUCAGGACUCCGCUGACGUCCGCGAUGCCCGUCCUCCUGAGCAUCAGGACAUCGUGUUGCCUGGUGUAACUGUUAGUCUGCGUGUGCAAGUCAAGAGGGGGAAGCCGGGGAAGGCCGAUGCGUAGAUUACAGUCAGUUCAGCACAUGAUUGCAACAAAUGAAUGGACGAGGUGUACAGUACUGAGCCGCUGGCGCUGAUUACAGCAGUGGUAGGAAUGACUGGGACGCAGAGUUGGACGAUUAUUGGUUUUGUUUGCUUCAGAUUUACAGCACUGGCCAAUUUCCUGUCCUGCGUUAUCUGAUCGCCUGCGCCGGUGCGAUCGGGCAGGACGUCGCUCAGCAGACCGAUCAGUAGGGGGAAAAAAAACAAAAACUAGUCAUGAUUUAUAACUGUGGAUGUGUGAGUGAAUUAUGAAACACAUGAAUGUCUUAUUGGUAGUUCUGUAACCGGGUGGAUGAUUGGAUAAGGAGGAAGAAAAUAGAUUUAUGCAGCUAAAUAUGGCUGCAUGGAUGAAUGACCUCACUAAGAUGUACUAGAGGAUAUAAACUACUAUGGUGGAGAAAUGAUGGCAGCUGUCAUUUUUUUUAUUGUUGGCUCCUUGCAGAAACAUAAACAGCUUAAAAAGGAAAACAAUGCAUAACUAUAGAAACCUGUUAUUUCCAGCUCAACUACUUUCCGGAGUGAAUUGUUAAAAACAUUUCACUCUUUUAUUAUUUCUUUAUAACUGUUGCACAAAUGUGGACACAUUGAUCCCCUAUGGCUAAAAUUGUGUAAAAAAGAGACUCUUCACUUUUUUAUUUUCAAACCACCAUUUAUCCAGUGUAGAAUCACAUCACUAGAAAUAAUUGAGUUGACCUAAAUUGCUGUGAUUUUACUUAACUUUUUUAAGUUGAUGUGCGCUCAAGACACAGUGGCCAAUUUCUUUAUUUAUUUUUGCCACCAUUCACUAGCCAUGUUUCAAGUUAUCAUAAAAUGUUAUUGGGUUUAUGUACAUUUUUUGGACCAGUGAUCCGACUCUUUGGAUAUGCAACACAGUCCGAAAAUUUUGUGAUAACUCCACAUUAUUCUCUGUUUUAGUCUGGUACUUGUAUUAUUAUCAUUGCUAUUGUUAUAAUUGGUUUUUAUAUAUUUUUAUGUUAUUUUUGUGUGAACCUUCAUACCUGAUCCUUCUGUUGAAUUUCCCCUCCGUGGGACAAUAAAGGCUGUUUUUAAA
Long non-coding RNA from Xiphophorus couchianus (Monterrey platyfish), 1972 nucleotides. RefSeq lists it as uncharacterized. Lineage: Eukaryota; Metazoa; Chordata; Actinopteri; Cyprinodontiformes; Poeciliidae. The transcript is spliced from 4 exons. The record is from RefSeq and is a predicted model, not a curated record.